AUGAACGCUGGCGGCGUGGAUAAGGCAUGCAAGUCGAGGGGGUCCCUCACCAAGUGCGGAAAUAUUUAUUCGCUUGGUGAGGGAUCACCGGCAGACGAGGUAGUAACACGUAGGAACGAACCCCGAAGUCAGGGAUAACCCAUCGAAAGAUGGGCUAAUACUUGAUAGUCUCGCGAGAGUAAAGAUUUAUCGCUUCGGGAUCGGCCUGCGGAAUAUCAGCUAGUUGGUAAGGUAACGGCUUACCAAGGCUAUGACGUUUAGGGGAGGUGAGAGCCUGACCCCCACCGAUGGGACUGCGACACGGCCCAUACACCUACGGGUGGCUGCAGUCGAGAAUCUUCCACAAUGGACGAAAGUCUGAUGGAGCGACGCCGCGUGACUGAUGAAGCAUUUCGGUGUGUAAAGGUCUUUUAUGAGGGAUGACAUAGCGACAGUACCUCAUGAAUAAGGGGCUGCUAAUCACGU
Molecule: ribosomal RNA, 465 nt
Filed under: uncultured bacterium
Lineage: Bacteria
Description: bacterial SSU rRNA
Rfam family: Bacterial small subunit ribosomal RNA
Source: RNAcentral